UACGUAGGUCCCGAGCGUUGUCCGGAUUUAUUGGGCGUAAAGCGAGCGCAGGUGGUUUAUUAAGUCUGGUGUAAAAGGCAGUGGCUCAACCAUUGUAUGCAUUGGAAACUGGUAGACUUGAGUGCAGGAGAGGAGAGUGGAAUUCCAUGUGUAGCGGUGAAAUGCGUAGAUAUAUGGAGGAACACCGGUGGCGAAAGCAGCGCACCGGCGCCCUACUGACACUCAGGCACGAAAGCGUGGGUAUCGAACAGG
Molecule: ribosomal RNA, 252 nt
Filed under: uncultured bacterium
Lineage: Bacteria
Description: partial 16S ribosomal RNA
Rfam family: Bacterial small subunit ribosomal RNA
Source: RNAcentral